GAUGAACGCUGGCGGCGUGCCUAAUACAUGCAAGUCGAGCGAACAGACGAGGAUCUUGCUCCUCUGACGUUAGCGGAGGGCGGGUGAGUCACACGUGUAUAACCUACCUAUAAGACUGGGAUAACUUCGGGAAACCGGAGCUAAUACGGGAGAAUAUAUUGAAGCGCAUGGUUCAAUAGUGAAAGACGGUUUUGCGGUCACUUAUAGCUGGAUCCGCGCCGGAUUAGCUGGUUGGUAAGGUAAAGGCUUACCAAGGCAACGAUGCGUAGCCGAACUGAGAGGGUGAUCGGCCACACUGGAACUGAGACACGGUCCAGACUCCUACGGGAGGCAGCAGUAGGGAAUCUUCGGCAAUGGGCGAAAGCCUGACGGAGCAACGCCGCGUGAGUGAUGAAGGUCUUCGGAUCGUAAAACUCUGUUAUUAGGGAAGAACAAAUGUGUAAGUAACUAUGCACGUCUUGACGGUACCUAAUCAGAAAGCCACGGCUAACUACGUG
This 497-nucleotide ribosomal RNA is filed under the name uncultured bacterium. Its description in RNAcentral is "partial 16S ribosomal RNA". It matches the Rfam family "Bacterial small subunit ribosomal RNA", at positions 28 to 507 of the family's 1533-position model. The record is from RNAcentral.